AGAGUUUGAUCAUGGCUCAGAAUCAACGCUGGCGGCGUGCCUAACACAUGCAAGUCGAACGCGAAAGCCCCGCAAGGGGUAAGUAGAGUGGCAAACGGGUGAGUAACACGUGGGUGACCUGCCUUCGAGUGGGGGAUAACGUCCCGAAAGGGACGCUAAUACCGCAUGACAUCCUGCCUUUGGAAAGGCGGAGAUCAAAGCUGGGGAUUGCAAGACCUGGCGCUUGAAGAGGGGCCCGCGCCUGAUUAGCUAGUUGGUGGGGUAAUGGCCUACCAAGGCGACGAUCAGUAUCCGGCCUGAGAGGGCGGACGGACACACUGGGACUGAGACACGGCCCAGACUCCUACGGGAGGCAGCAGUGGGGAAUUGUUCGCAAUGGGCGCAAGCCUGACGACGCAACGCCGCGUGGAGGACGAAGAUCUUCGGGUCGUAAACUCCUGUCGAGCGGGAAGAACACCCAUCCAGUGAACAACUGGGAGGGCUGACGGUACCGCUAAAGGAAGCCCCGGCUAACUCCGUGCCAGCAGCCGCGGUAAUAC
RNAcentral lists this ribosomal RNA (539 nucleotides) under uncultured bacterium. RNAcentral's name for it is "bacterial SSU rRNA". It matches the Rfam family "Bacterial small subunit ribosomal RNA", at positions 8 to 526 of the family's 1533-position model. The record is from RNAcentral.